UACGGGAGGCAGCAGUGGGGAAUAUUGCACAAUGGGCGCAAGCCUGAUGCAGCCAUGCCGCGUGUAUGAAAAAGGCCUUCGGGUUGUAAAGUACUUUCAGUCGUGAGGAAGGUGUUAAGGUUAAUAACCUUAGCAAUUGACGUUAGCGACAGAAGAAGCACCGGCUAACUCCGUGCCAGCAGCCGCGGUAAUACGGAGGGUGCGAGCGUUAAUCGGAAUUACUGGGCGUAAAGGGCACGCAGGCGGUUAAUUAAGUUGGAUGUGAAAUCCCCGGGCUUAACCUGGGAAUGGCAUUCAAGACUGGUUAGCUAGAGUCUUGUAGAGGGGGUAGAAUUCCAUGUGUAGCGGUGAAAUGCGUAGAGAUGUGGAGGAAUACCGGUGGCGAAGGCGGCCCCUGGGACAAAGGCUGACGCUCAUGUGCGAAAGCGUGGGGAGCGAAACAGGGAUUAGA
Molecule: ribosomal RNA, 451 nt
Filed under: uncultured bacterium
Lineage: Bacteria
Description: bacterial SSU rRNA
Rfam family: Bacterial small subunit ribosomal RNA
Source: RNAcentral